AUCAGUAACAGGAUUUAUUUAAUUUAACAAAUUUCUCUUCUGUAUUUUGUCUGAAAUCUCUGCAAGAGAUGUCCAAACAGAAGGUUGGCAGCACAACAAAGAAAGAGCCUGUUUUUGCAUUUUCAACGUUAAGUAUUAAAUACAAUAAAUAAUGCAUUUUCCGUGUAAAAGAAAAUGUUAUAAUUAUUAUUAUUAUUAUUAUUAUUAUUACCUACUUACGGUAUUAUAUUUAUUAUUAUUAAUGUUAUUAUUUUAGGUGCCAAAUUCAACACAUACCAAAAGUACCUGACAGGAGUUUUGCAGUUUUGUGUUAGAAAAACAGGGAGAAACUCCAAAGGAACCUGAGCGACAGUUGGCUACUGAAGAACAUGGGGUCUGAAAUUUCCUCUGCUAACUUCAUGAGGUCCACUUACAGCGUGUUUAGCCCUAUCAGACCCCAGGAUGUGAGGAACAGGAGCUUCCUGGAGGGCAGUGUGCUGGGAAGCGGUACUCUGCUAGGGGCUGAGGAAUCACUACUUCCCCGACAAGAGGGUAGACCUCUACAUCAUGCAGGGAGAAAAGGGGGGCUUCCAUUCAACUUCGAUGAUCUACUCCUUCCAGCAGACACUGAACUUGAUCAAGAUUUUUACGUUAUCGGGGUUCAGGAGGGCUGCCCUCAAUGGGGGAAGUGGAAGACCCAUCUUUAGGAGACUCUGAGACCUUACUGUGUUGCACUGUAGCACAUGGUGUUUUUGUAUUCUUAUUAGUUUUGGCACUUCAGCUGUUCAGCUGACACCUACCUCCUCGCACCAGUUGCAGUCAUAAAAAUUGAAAAUAUUCAAAUAGUGGAUCUCAUCUCUGAUGCUUUUGAUUACUUUUGGAUAUUAUGAAAAGGCAUCAAUAUGAAUUCCAUCAAAUAAAAAAACAACUCCUCAGUGUCAUGUUAUGGAGAACAGAGCAAACCUUGAGAUGGGCACAUAAGGGCGCAAAGAGAAGCAGACAAAGUGAUGCAUCAAUCCUGCAUAGUGCCUUCUGUACGAGCCUUUAGGGGUGGUGUUAGGAGCUGGGGGUGCUUCCUGUGGUCAGGUCAGGGCUUGGUAACACUACGUGCCUUAAAGAUGAGCUCAGAUGACUUUCUGAAUAACCAUUUUUUCCAUUAAUGCAUUAUUUCUUUCUUGAUGACACAGACUUAUUCCAAGCUGACAGUGCCAGGAUUCAUUGGGCUGAGAUUAUCAGAGUGGAUAGGGAGCGAGAGAUAUUUUCACACAUGGAUUGGCUACCUCAGAAACUAGACCUCGACCCCAUCAGGAGUCUCUGGGAUGUGCUGGAGAAGACUUUGCUCAGCUGUCUGACUCUCACAUCAUUAAUGCAAGAUCUUGGCAAUGAAUUACUCAGAAUCAGGAUGAAAACGAGUGUGACUUUGCAUAAACU
Non-coding RNA from Xyrichtys novacula (pearly razorfish), 1410 nucleotides. The record is from the annotation of a GenBank genome assembly. Lineage: Eukaryota; Metazoa; Chordata; Actinopteri; Labriformes; Labridae.